This 987-nucleotide long non-coding RNA is filed under the name Brassica rapa (field mustard). RNAcentral's name for it is "long non-coding RNA (BRAP_LNC006674)". The record is from RNAcentral. Lineage: Eukaryota; Viridiplantae; Streptophyta; Magnoliopsida; Brassicales; Brassicaceae.
UUAUUUCUUUUCUUGCCUGUAGGUUGUAAAAAUAUUUCAUGAUUUAAGCAAAAACAAAAACAAUAUUUCAUGAUAAGAAAAUGGCAGAGUGUAAUUAACGAACACGAAAAACAAGGAAGAAAUUUUACCAUAGCUUCUUGCGCUAAAACAUCUACUACACUUAAUAGUUUUUUAAAUGAAAGAUUGUUAUUGAUUUAACGUUAUAAUUGAACGACUGUGUACGUAGAUUAAGCUAAACUGAUGAUGGAGAGGGCCGGAAAGUGGUGAUGUUUCCAACCAUUACAUUCUACUGUGAUAAGGAAAUCGAUUCCUCUAAAAGACCAAACAGUGGCUUAGAGUCUCCCCAUAACGUGACAUAAGUAUAUCCAAAUUAAGUAUAUAGUUUGAUCAUGGACAUCCACGAAGGUCUAAUUAGGAUUUAAUUUAUACUUUAGUCACGUUGCAGUGAUGAAAUGCCUUCAUUAAUAGAGCUUAGGUUUUUUUUUUUUUUUGAUCAAAUAGAGCUUAGGUUUAUUGUCUCUCUUUAGACCAUGAGUCAGAGGCCUGGACAUUUCAGGUAUCGGUUCGAUAUUUCGGAUAGUUCGGAUAGAGGAUAGAGGAUCCAUUUAGUACUUGACAUAUUUUCGGGUUUAGUUCGGUUCGGAUAGUAAAUGUAGGAACCGGAAAAUAUCCGAAAAAAGUUUGGUUCUCAUUUGGAUCCGGUUCGGAUAGUUCGGGUAGUUCGGAUAAUUUGGAUAAAAUAUCAGUUAUUUAGGGUAAAAUAUCAAAUAAUUAGGAUGAUUUAGAUAAAAAAUUUGGAUAUUUCGGAUUACUUUGAAUAUUUCGGAUAAAACUAUCCGGAUAGUUUAGAUACUUUAUAAUAAUUUAGUUAUUCUCAACUAUUUUCAGAUACUUUUAAUAGAAUUUUAAAUUAAAAAUACACAUUUAGUGAUGUUAUAUGUAUAUAUAAUUAAUAUUUUUAUAUAUUCAGGUACCCGUUCGGUUCUC